GGUGUCCUCCAGACGAAUCUCCCGACCACUUUUCCCGCAGUCCUCACAUCGCAAUGACGAAACUGCACAUUGGAUCCCACUUGCCAAUUCAGCCGCAACUCCUCCAAGUUCGGGAACCGCACCUGCCCUGGCUGACCUCGCAGUAAUAACGAACUGUGGGUGGGAGAGGAGGCUCCGCUGAAAGAGAUGAUAGCUCGUGAAGAUUCAGUGAGACUUCGGUGGGCUUCACUGUGAGCUUGGGAUACUGCGAACUUUCAGAGACCUCCAUGAAAUCAAAUAAGGGCGUAAUUCCGUGAGAUUCUACCUCAAAUUGCUGGGCUAUUGUGAGGAUUAUCCCUCAAGAUGUUGAAGGUUAUGCGGCUCUUCUGUCUGUGUUUGAGCUUAACCACCCACUUAAAGACGAGUUCUAGUGCUGUAGCUUUUAGGCCAAUUAGCUGGGAAAGAGCAGUAUGAGCCGUGUGCAACACAAAGCUUGAGAAGCGCUGUGGGCAACCGCACACCAUGGCUGGAAAGAUCACGAAAGAUGAGUUAGAUUUGAGCAAUGACCUUCAAGCGUCUUCUUCAAAUCUUCCGGGGAGACAAGGACAAGUUAACUUGUGGAGCAUGAAAAGUGCAGAACAAGCUAGAUUGAAGACGUUUCGAACUCUUGAAGGAUGAAUUUGCGAUUCUGGAUGCCUAUCCUAGUGCGGAGCCUCAUGUGGCGAAACGAUAGAUUGUAGAAACAUUUCGGUACAAUUUCUUCUUUUCAUGUACCCUAAACUGCGGCACUUACUCAAGAUUGUCCAGAGUAUAAUAUGUGAAGAAACCAGAAGGGGGCAUCGACUGAUUGUGACAGCUUUGGGAUUCCCCUCUUUACAGCGCAUGAGCUUGUUCC
Non-coding RNA from Physcomitrium patens, 874 nucleotides. Lineage: Eukaryota; Viridiplantae; Streptophyta; Bryopsida; Funariales; Funariaceae. The record is from RefSeq and is a predicted model, not a curated record.